UACGGGGGGGGCAAGCGUUGUUCGGAAUUACUGGGCGUAAAGGGCUCGUAGGCGGCCAACUAAGUCAUACGUGAAAUCCCUCGGCUUAACCGGGGAACUGCCGUGGAUACUGCCAGUCUCGAGGAGGGUAGGGGCAUCUGGAACAGCCGGUGGAGCGGUGAAAUGCGUUGAUAUCGGCUGGAACUCCGGUGGCGAAGGCGAGAUGCUGGACCCUUUCUGACGCUGAGGCGCGAAAGCCAGGGGAGCGAACGGG
Molecule: ribosomal RNA, 253 nt
Filed under: uncultured bacterium
Lineage: Bacteria
Description: partial 16S ribosomal RNA
Rfam family: Bacterial small subunit ribosomal RNA
Source: RNAcentral